UUAUCAGUUCUCAUAUAAAUGCAAGCGCUAGAAAGGACUUUCAAAAGCCUUUUCCGUAGCCAUGAAGUUCCUUUCUCUUUUUUUCAUUAUUGCGAUGGUGUUGGCCGCUGUUAGUGGACAACGACUGUGUCGACCUGGUCUGAGACCACGGGGUUGGAGGUGUUCCGCCAAUCAUCACUGCUGCUCCUUCAACUGCCGUCGGGGGAGAUGUUGGUAGAUGGACACGAAUCACGGAAAUUGAACCCGAAUUCGCGAUGGGAAAGAGGGUACCGAACCGAACGUUUAUUCACUCUUCUAAUAUUUAUUUGAGAAUGAUUUUGUAACAUUACAGUACUUUUACGGUGCAUAAAUUUGAUGUACCUAUCCUCAAAGGAUACUAGUGAUGAAUAUAUUGAGAGAAUGCAGCAAUAUUUUUAUGAUUUUUAUUUUUUUAUUGCACCUUAGUCUCUUUCCGCGACGCAUUCAUCUUCUCGGAGAGGAAAAUUCUUGAAAAAUAAGGUGCAGAUCCAUAAUCUGUCAGUCAAAAUAGUAUUUAGUAAAAAUUAUGGAACAGUUACGCAUUUAUUUACUGAACGUCCCAUUUUUUUUUUAACUUUUUGGACUUUUCAAUGAAAUUUCACCGAAAAAGUGUAUAACUCUUCCGUUAUUUUUAAUGAAUAUUAUGUUGACUGACAGAUUAUGGAACAGGCGCGUAAUUUUUCAAGAAUUUUUCUCCGUGGUAAAUUUUAUAAAUUUAUUUCCUAAUCGACAAUAACAUGGGAUACCACACGUGCUUGGAAAAAAUAUUGUUGUUAAGGAUCGCUUAUUUAAGCUCUUAUUUUUUAUUAAAUCCUAUUUUUCAAAUUUGUUAAAACUCAGUUGGGCCCGAUUUUUUUUAUCUUGGGAAUUUAUGAAGAAAAGAAUUUUUAUAAUUUUUUUUUAAGAAGUUGGUUUUUACUCACUACAAAAAAAUUGUGGCCUGAGAAUUUUGAUGGGCAGAGCUUGUUGCACUGGGGAACAAUAAUUAUUAAUACAUUUUGUACUUGUUCUAAAGGGGAGAACAAUUUCGAUUGAAUUUAUUUCUUUUUUAGACAGACCUUCCACCAAAUUAAAAUUCCUCAAGUUUGUUUUUCAUUUAGUAUUUUUGUUCGUACGAAAAUCAAAGAAAUCGGCGAAAAAUAGAAUAAGUUAUACAAAAAAAACUAUAUAUCAUAUAUACAUAACAAAUUAUACAUAACAGAAAAGUUACAUAUAUAAGUAAAAAAUUUAAUUUGAGUUUUUGUAUUAAAAAGAUUUAAUGUUCAAUACUUUGACAGAAUCGAGCAGAAACUAAUAGAAAUUUCAACAAAAAUCCAAAAACAAUUUAACAACAAUUCAACAAUUUUUAACGAUUAAAUUAGAUUUUUCUCCAAAAUUCCUGCAUUUGUUUACUCUUCGAUAAAAGAUGAGCUAAUGACUGGUCGCGCGUUGAACUAUUUCGAUAAGAAUAAUAAUUUAUCCAUUCAUUCAACAUAUUAACGUAGAUUCAUAUUAUUUUUCUCGUCUCAUUUGUACUUUAAUAACAAAAUUGUAUAUCAGAGACGUUCUUAUCUUCGCAAUUCAAUAUGUACAAACGUUUGUAUAGUAAUCGCGUCAUUCCAAAGAAACAAACUUCGUGAACAAUUGAGACUGCAUGUGUAUAAAAGAAAGUUCUUGGCUUGAUGCAUUUGUACUGGGGUAAAUCAGUCGCGUCUUUCAAUUUCUCUGCGUCAUGAAGUUUCUCUCCAUUUUUGUGGUCAUCGCAAUGGUGCUAACGGCUGCUAAUGCGCAGUGGAGAUGCCGAAGCCCCGGGAGCCAGUGCUCGUCCCAUUGGCAGUGCUGCAGACAACGUUGUCGCAGAUACAGAUGCGCUUAGUUGGAUACAUGCGGACAUAAGAUGUACUCAUCACUGCUUCAGGAGGCGAUAUCAGACAUGAUGUGACGUUGGUAUUGUAUUCAAUUGAUUGGAAGAUCAUCUGCUGAAGAACAUCGAUCCCAUCGGCAUAUCUCAAGAUUAUUUCAUUUGCAGUCUUUGUAAAUUCAAGAAUGGAUAUCAUUAAAUAUUAAUGCUGAUAA
Diachasmimorpha longicaudata is the source of this 2073-nucleotide long non-coding RNA. RefSeq lists it as uncharacterized. The transcript has 5 exons. Lineage: Eukaryota; Metazoa; Arthropoda; Insecta; Hymenoptera; Braconidae. The record is from RefSeq and is a predicted model, not a curated record.